Long non-coding RNA from Carya illinoinensis, 980 nucleotides. RefSeq lists it as uncharacterized. The record is from RefSeq and is a predicted model, not a curated record. Lineage: Eukaryota; Viridiplantae; Streptophyta; Magnoliopsida; Fagales; Juglandaceae. The transcript is spliced from 4 exons.
CAGAUCUUUCUUGCCUGCCUCCCUUCUCUCUCUCUCUCUCUCUCUCUCUCUCUCUCUCUUCCAAUUUUUUUUCUUGUUUAUCGUCGUUUGAUGUAUAUUACCUUCGUAUUUUUCAAAUCUACAAAACAAAAAUUGUUUUUCUUUCCGUUUUUGCUAUCUGUGUUCAUAUGUUUUUUUUUUUGGCUUUCCAUUCAAGUUUAUUUAUUUUUUGUUGGGUUUGAUUUGUUCUACUUUUUUGUUUCUUGUUCUUCAAAUUUUGAUUUAUAUGACUUGUGUUUUUUUGAUUUCUCCCCCACCAACGCAUCUUUACUAACUGUGUUUUAUUUUUAUUUCUUAGUGUUCUGAGUACCUGUUUUGAAUGGAAUAAAGGCAGACGGGAAAAAAUAGAUCUUGAAUUGUGGAUUGGCCGGUACUAAUCAUUCAACGUACAAUAGCUUGGCAUCAACCGUGCAUUUUUCACUGCAGGGAAUGAAUUGAGUAUGGUAUUAUUUCACCAUGCACCUUGGUCUAAUUACUCAUUCAGUGGAAAGACAGAAAUUCUUGUCGGCAAAACUUACUAUUGCUGACUGCUCACCAACUAAGGCCGGGGAAAGGAAAUAUAGGUGAAGGUGGACACGAGGUACUUAAGUUGCAGAACGGCCUACUUCAAAAAAAAAAAAAAAAAAAGUUGCAGAACGGCCAAGAUGGCGCAGGUGGGGUGUCUUGCAUUGAAUCCAGAAGCAAUCCUGCAACAAACGAUUGGGUUCCAAAGAUCAACGAAGAUCAGGUCUUUGUCUCCUCAAAACCAAAUCGGAGCGAGAGCUCUUAGAUGUGUCGGUAGGAGGGAGCUUUUGAGAAAGGGACUUAGCACCAACUUUUCCUGUAAACUUUUUUAAUCGAUAGAGAUUAGAUGAGCAUCAUGAAAGUUUUAAAAAAUUCACGUAAUGGGUUUUCAACUAUUCAAGCGAUGACUUCUCCCAAUAGUAUUUGUUUGUUUUCUC